UACGUAGGGUGCGAGCGUUAAUCGGAAUUACUGGGCGUAAAGGGUGCGUAGGCGGAUAUAUAAGUUAGAUGUGAAAAGCCCGGGCUCAACCUUGGUCGUGCAUUUAAGACUGUAUAUCUAGAGUAUGUGAGAGGGGGGUAGAAUUCCAAGUGUAGCAGUGAAAUGCGUAGAGAUUUGGAGGAAUACCGAUGGCGAAGGCAGCCCCCUGGCAUAAUACUGACGCUGAGGCACGAAAGCGUGGGUAGCAAACAGG
This 253-nucleotide ribosomal RNA is filed under the name uncultured bacterium. RNAcentral describes it as "partial 16S ribosomal RNA". It matches the Rfam family "Bacterial small subunit ribosomal RNA", at positions 524 to 776 of the family's 1533-position model. The record is from RNAcentral.